GGCAGAUUAGGUAGUUGGUGAGGUAAAGGCUCACCAAGCCUUCGAUCUGUAGCUGGUCUGAGAGGACGACCAGCCACACUGGGACUGAGACACGGCCCAGACUCCUACGGGAGGCAGCAGUGGGGAAUAUUGGACAAUGGGCGAAAGCCUGAUCCAGCCAUGCCGCGUGUGUGAAGAAGGCCUUUUGGUUGUAAAGCACUUUAAGCAGUGAAGAAGACUCCAUGGUUAAUACCCAUGGACGAUGACAUUAGCUGCAGAAUAAGCACCGGCUAACUCUGUGCCAGCAGCCGCGGUAAUACAGAGGGUGCAAGCGUUAAUCGGAAUUACUGGGCGUAAAGCGAGCGUAGGUGGCUUGAUAAGUCAGAUGUGAAAGCCCCGGGCUUAACCUGGGAACGGCAUCUGAUACUGUUAGGCUAGAGUAGGUGAGAGGAAGGUAGAAUUCCAGGUGUAGCGGUGAAAUGCGUAGAGAUCUGGAGGAAUACCGAUGGCGAAGGCAGCCUUCUGGCAUCAUACUGACACUGAGGUUCGAAAGCGUGGGUAGCAAACAGGAUUAGAUACCCUGGUAGUCCAUGCCGUAAACGUUGGGCACUAGGUGUGGGGAACAUUCCACGUUUUCCGCGCCGUAGCUAACGCAUUAAGUGCCCCGCCUGGGGAGUACGGCCGCAAGGCUAAAACUCAAA
This 680-nucleotide ribosomal RNA is filed under the name Conticribra weissflogii. RNAcentral's name for it is "partial Bacterial small subunit ribosomal RNA". It matches the Rfam family "Bacterial small subunit ribosomal RNA", at positions 235 to 905 of the family's 1533-position model. Lineage: Eukaryota; Bacillariophyta; Thalassiosirophyceae; Thalassiosirales; Thalassiosiraceae. The record is from RNAcentral.